GUGGGGAAUCUUGCGCAAUGGGCGAAAGCCUGACGCAGCCAUGCCGCGUGAAUGAUGAAGGUCUUAGGAUUGAAAAAUUCUUUCACUGGGGACGAUAAUGACGGUACCCGGAGAAGAAGCUCCGGCUAACUUCGUGCCAGCAGCCGCGGUAAUACGAAGGGGGCUAGCGUUGCUCGGAAUUACUGGGCGUAAAGGGCGCGUAGGCGGACAGCUUAGUCAGAGGUGAAAGCCCAGGGCUCAACCUUGGAAUUGCCUUUGAUACUGGCUGUCUUGAGUUUGGGAGAGGUGAGUGGAACUCCGAGUGUAGAGGUGAAAUUCGUAGAUAUUCGGAAGAACACCAGUGGCGAAGGCGACUCACUGGCCCAAUACUGACGCUGAGGCGCGAAAGCGUGGGGAGCAAACAGGAUUAGAAACCCCUGUAGUCC
Molecule: ribosomal RNA, 425 nt
Filed under: uncultured bacterium
Lineage: Bacteria
Description: partial 16S ribosomal RNA
Rfam family: Bacterial small subunit ribosomal RNA
Source: RNAcentral